AUAGAAUCCAAAACAACAGUUCAUAUGACAACAAAAACGUAAAAUCAUGUCAGAAGAAGGAGCUAGCCUGCCUUUUUGCCGCAAAACCAGAAAGAACUAAGCAAGUUCAAGAGUCAUUUAGUCAACUGAAUGAUAAUCACCACAACGGAAUUAAGGGUGCUUGAGAUCAUGCAUCUAAAAGAAGACGCGCAUCAAUACUUUUGUCGAUCAGGUGAACUAGUCAAGGUGAAACAUGGAUCGCUGACAUCUUUCCAGCUCAUAUAUGAUAGCUUUGGUGAUAUAGGAGAUCCCAGAGAAGGUGAAGAGUCUCCUCCACAAGUUCCCAUUUUAUCACAUUGAGGAUCCUGAUCACACAUGAGCAGUUCUGGCAUCUCGUCUACCUCAAAGUGCUUCUUCACGGGGGUCUCUAGCUGGUACGUCAAAGACAUUGACUUCAUUGAGAGUUUAGAUGCAUGUGGAGAUGCUAGCGGCUGCACAGGGAUAUCAUUGUCUAGUCCAACUUCCUUCAGAAAAAAGUCCAUGUCGAUCACCUUCCUCUGUGCUUUGAUGCACUCCUUAUGAUCAUGCAGAAAUUGUUCUUCAGCUAUAGAAGUUGGAAUAUUUGCUGCUGCAGCAGCACUCCAUUUCUUAUCAAAUCCCUUCUUGGACCCCUGCUUUGCUGAUGGCUUGCUUGAGUUUGUAAGAUCAGUGAGAGCUUUCCUGCCACCCUUG
RNAcentral lists this unclassified non-coding RNA (711 nucleotides) under Hevea brasiliensis (rubber tree). The record is from RNAcentral. Lineage: Eukaryota; Viridiplantae; Streptophyta; Magnoliopsida; Malpighiales; Euphorbiaceae.